Molecule: ribosomal RNA, 443 nt
Filed under: uncultured bacterium
Lineage: Bacteria
Description: partial 16S ribosomal RNA
Rfam family: Bacterial small subunit ribosomal RNA
Source: RNAcentral
CCUACGGGCGGCAGCAGUGGGGAAUAUUGGACAAUGGGGGGAACCCUGAUCCAGCGACGCCGCGUGAGUGAAGAAGUAUUUCGGUAUGUAAAGCUCUAUCAGCAGGGAAGAAAGAAAUGACGGUACCUGACUAAGAAGCCCCGGCUAACUACGUGCCAGCAGCCGCGGUAAUAAGUAGGGGGCAAGCGUGAUCCGGAUAUACUGGGGGUAAAGGGGGCGUAGACGGCGAUGCAAAUCUGAAGUGAAAGGCGGGGGCCCAACCCCCGGACUGCUUUGGAAACGGUAUGGCUGGAGUGCAGGAGAGGUAAGUGGAAUUCCUAGUGUAGCGGUGAAAUGCGUAGAUAUUAGGAGGAACACCAGUGGCGAAGGCGGCUUACUGGACUGUAACUGACGUUGAGGCUCGAAAGCGUGGGGAGCAAACAGGAUUAGAUACCCCUGUAGUC